GGUUGGAUAGCUCAACUGGAUAGAGCAUCUGCCUUCUAAGCAGAGGGUUCUGGGUUCGAGUCCCAGUUCGACCACCA
This 77-nucleotide transfer RNA is filed under the name Pseudobdellovibrionaceae bacterium. Its description in RNAcentral is "Bdellovibrionaceae bacterium (sponge metagenome) tRNA-Arg". It matches the Rfam family "tRNA". Rfam says of the family: Transfer RNA (tRNA) molecules are approximately 80 nucleotides in length. RNAcentral also lists the same sequence under 1 other name. The record is from RNAcentral. Lineage: Bacteria; Pseudomonadati; Bdellovibrionota; Bdellovibrionia; Bdellovibrionales; Pseudobdellovibrionaceae.